UACGGAGGGGACUAGCGUUGUUCGGAAUUACUGGGCGUAAAGCGCACGUAGGCGGAUUUGUAAGUCAGGGGUGAAAUCCCGAGGCUCAACCUCGGAACUGCCUUUGAUACUGCAAAUCUCGAGUCCGGAAGAGGUGAGUGGAAUUCCUAGUGUAGAGGUGAAAUUCGUAGAUAUUCGCAAGAACACCAGUGGCGAAGGCGGCUCACUGGUCCGGUUCUGACGCUGAGGCGCGAAAGCGUGGGGAGCAAACAGG
RNAcentral lists this ribosomal RNA (253 nucleotides) under uncultured bacterium. RNAcentral's name for it is "partial 16S ribosomal RNA". It matches the Rfam family "Bacterial small subunit ribosomal RNA", at positions 524 to 776 of the family's 1533-position model. The record is from RNAcentral.